UACGGGGGGAGCAAGCGUUGUUCGGAUUUAUUGGGCGUAAAGAGCGCGCAGGCGGUCGGAUAAGUCGAAUGUGAAAGCCCCUGGCUCAACCAGGGAGGGUCAUUCGAUACUGUUCGACUCGAAGGCAGGAGAGGGAAGUGGAAUUCCGGGUGUAGUGGUGAAAUGCGUAGAUAUCCGGAGGAACACCAGUGGCGAAGGCGACUUUCUGGCCUGUUCUUGACGCUGAGGCGCGAAAGCUAGGGGAGCAAACGGG
RNAcentral lists this ribosomal RNA (253 nucleotides) under uncultured bacterium. RNAcentral's name for it is "partial 16S ribosomal RNA". It matches the Rfam family "Bacterial small subunit ribosomal RNA", at positions 524 to 776 of the family's 1533-position model. The record is from RNAcentral.